Molecule: long non-coding RNA, 218 nt
Filed under: Mytilus galloprovincialis (Mediterranean mussel)
Lineage: Eukaryota; Metazoa; Mollusca; Bivalvia; Mytilida; Mytilidae
Source: RNAcentral
CUUUAUUAUUUAUUAUCAGAAACCAUUCGUUCAUUAUUGGGUCAUCUGGUCAGUAUGUCUCGUAUAAAUGCCCACACAUUAUGACAAAUGACUUGAUCGCAAAUAAAAACGUUCAUCACAGACAAUAAUAGGUGUAUAUAACUGUCACAUAAGCAUAAAACAUUGUUAACAGUCUGUGAUAUACAAAUUAUAUUAAUUUAUAGUAAAUGACCAAAACA